Molecule: non-coding RNA, 101 nt
Organism: Caenorhabditis elegans
Lineage: Eukaryota; Metazoa; Nematoda; Chromadorea; Rhabditida; Rhabditidae
Source: Ensembl
UUAGGGCGCGGUCGGAGGAACAGGUGGGAACUUCUUACCCUUUUCAAAUAUCUCUUUUCACGUUUCACAGGGUACAAAAUGGCGCCUAGAAUUCCGGCGCC